UUAAGGACACCGAGUCUACCUUUUUUUCCAACAUGAUCGCAGCUCUCCUUAUUCUGGCAUGUUGUCUUUUUUCUGGUCAUGCAGAUAACAAUGGUGUUCUCCAGAUGCCUGAAAGGCUCUGGCAUUCUCCAGGGAAUUCUGUAGAAAUGAAUUGCAGUCACAAUAAGGAUAUCAACCACAGACAGAUGUACUGGUUUAAGCAGGUUCCAGGGGAGGAAAUUACACUCCUUGUAUUUACAACAGUUGGUAGUGAACCAGAUUAUGGUAAAUUCAGUAAAGACAAAUAUGAAGCAGUUAAGGAUGUAGUUGAGAGUGGAUCAUUGACAGUAAAGAACUUGGAUGCUGGAGACAAUGCCCUGUAUUUCUGUGCUGUGAAGAAACACUGUGGUGCAAACACACUACAGCACUGA
This is a non-coding RNA of Silurus meridionalis, 410 nucleotides long. NCBI's taxonomy places the organism in Eukaryota, Metazoa, Chordata, Actinopteri, Siluriformes, Siluridae. The record is from the annotation of a RefSeq genome assembly.